RNAcentral lists this unclassified non-coding RNA (1988 nucleotides) under Lytechinus variegatus (green sea urchin). RNAcentral's name for it is "threonine aspartase 1-like, transcript variant X1". Lineage: Eukaryota; Metazoa; Echinodermata; Echinoidea; Temnopleuroida; Toxopneustidae. The record is from RNAcentral.
GACUAACAUGUCAGCGCCCAUGUAUUUUACUGCUGGGAUUUGAGGCGAGAAAAGACUGUGCUAUGUCUGGAUUUAUUGCUGUUCAUCUAGGUGCAGGAUAUCAUUCCCCUGAGAGGAAAUGUGAAUACAAUGAUACUGUGAAUAAAGCAUGCCAACAGGCAAUAUCUCUGCUUAAAGAUGGUGCAAGUGCAGUGGAUGCAGUUUCUGUAGCAGUAUCAACACUUGAGGAUAGUCCCUGCACAAAUGCUGGCCUUGGAUCCAACCUGACUAUAGAGGGUAGUAUUGAGUGUGAUGCUGGAAUCAUGGAUGGAGACUCUCUGCAUUUUGGAGCUGUUGGUGCAUUAGGAGGAAUACGGAACCCAGUUAAAGUAGCCAAAGCUUUAUUGUGUGAACAGCGCAAAGGACUGAUGUCUUAUGGUCGAAUUCCACCAUGUGUAAUGGUUGGGAAUGGUGCCCUCCAGUGGGCUCGAGAUCAUGGUUUCAAGGAGGUCAACACAAGUGCCCUAAUCACACCAAAGGCUCUUUCUUCCUAUCGGAAACACAAGAGGGCGCUGUCAGAGUGUAGCACCUUGCCAUUAGAUCAGCAAGAAACAUCUCCAAAGAGAGUGAAGGGAGAUAGGACCCAAAUGACAGAGAGGGAUACCAUGCUAGACACAGUAGGUGCAGUAUGUGUGGACAGCAGAGGUCAAAUUGCCAGUGCCGUGUCCAGUGGGGGUAUAGCCCUUAAACACCCAGGGAGAGUAGGACAUGCAAUGUUUAUUGGUUGUGGAUGCUGGGCACAGUCCCACACACAGACAUCUUCGUCAGCGAGUGUUGGAUGCAGUACAUCAGGAAGCGGAGAGCAGCUUCUAAGGUGCAAUCUAGCCCGAACGUGUUGUGAGGGCCUCCUUCACAGUGAAGAUCCUACCUCAUCACUCGGCAGCACUUUUCAGGGUCAAUAUUUAAAAUCACCUCUCUUGCCUGAUGAUGCAGCAAGGCUUGGUGGAGCUAUUGCAGUCAGAUACAACCAUACAGACAGAGCUGCAGAGAUUCUCUGGACACACUCCACAGAUAGUCUCUGUCUGGGCUACAUGGACACCACACAGAUCAAAGCAAAGAUGGUGAUAUCAAGAUUACCUACAGGAGCCAAAGCAGGAUCCACCUAUACCCUAGGUGGAGCCACAGUUCACCUGCCUUUGAGUGAAGAACCACCUUGAUGAUGGCUAAACUACCUCCAUUAACUAAGGCUGUCAUACUCAUAAUCAUCUUGGAAUGGGUACUGUAAAGGUUAGGGACAGGUCAUGAGCCUGAGAAGGAGCCUCAGGUACCUGACAAGGAGCUUCUUGAUGGACAGACUCCAUGCUGUUUUCAUCACCUUAAGUUUGCAGGAGCAAUAACAAAUGAAAACCAACUCUUGUGAUAGAGCCAUAUGUUGCCCAAUGUGAGCCAGCUGGAGCACAAGCAGGAGCCCUUAGAAGCACAAGAGGACCCUGUCAAUGGUGAUUCUCCAUGCCAAUGCUCUUGUAUUCCUUCAAUUUUGAUGAUACUCCUGUUGUGGUGGUGUGUCAACAUUGCUCCUGCAGGAGCAAAGGUGUUCUCCACAGGGAGCCAUCUAAUCAAGUUGAACUAUAAUUGACAACACACAGCACCAUCUUGUUGAGCUCAUUUUGUGUUACAUCAUGGAGAGGAAUAGACAACAUUUAUCAGGUUAGUCUUUACAACAUACCCUAAAACAAAUAAAGAUGUUCUUUAAAUCAGAGAGAGGGCUGUUUCGUAAAAAUAAUCAAUAAAGUUAUGUAAAACUUUAUGAACACCCAGACCCCAUCAAACAAAGAGUUAUGAUAGAAUAUCAGUUGUGAUUUUAUAUGGUAAUGGUAUAUGGCAAUUCAAGUGUGCUUCUGAAUCAGUUUCAAUCACAUUAGUUAAAGUAAAAUCUGCUGAUGCUUUUCAGACUAACUUGCCUUGUUACUACGAUGUAUACUAUUUAUUUUUCACAAUUUGAAUUUAAG